UGAUAUUUCCUGCGAGAGAAUCAUUUAUAAAGAUAUUUGAUAAAUGGUCGCCGAAGAUGCAAACCGUAGAGCAGUAAAGCUCGUUGAAUGGUGAAACUUUCAGGCAAAAGGAUCGGGAAAGGUAC
RNAcentral lists this non-coding RNA (125 nucleotides) under Allocoprococcus comes. RNAcentral's name for it is "Coprococcus comes Glycine sequence". It matches the Rfam family "Glycine riboswitch aptamer". Rfam says of the family: This family represents the bacterial glycine riboswitch. Lineage: Bacteria; Bacillati; Bacillota; Clostridia; Lachnospirales; Lachnospiraceae. The record is from RNAcentral.